This 73-nucleotide transfer RNA is filed under the name Candidatus Woesearchaeota archaeon. Its description in RNAcentral is "tRNA-Gln". It matches the Rfam family "tRNA". Rfam says of the family: Transfer RNA (tRNA) molecules are approximately 80 nucleotides in length. The record is from RNAcentral. Lineage: Archaea; Nanobdellati; Candidatus Woesearchaeota.
AGCCCCGUAGUGUAGUGGCCAAUCAUCUCGGACUUUGGAUCCGGGGACCUCGGUUCGAAUCCGAGCGGGGCUA